Molecule: non-coding RNA, 23 nt
Filed under: Arabidopsis thaliana (thale cress)
Lineage: Eukaryota; Viridiplantae; Streptophyta; Magnoliopsida; Brassicales; Brassicaceae
Source: RNAcentral
UCAAGUUGUUCACUCUCAGGCUC